AAACACUCUUUGCUGACCUCACUCCAGUGUCAACAGUAACAGGUGCACAGAGGCUGGAGAAAUACUCUUUAGACUUAAUGUAAUCUAUCCUGAGAAAGGAUCAUUUAAUUUGAAUAUGAAAUUUGCCAAUUGCGGGAAAUGACAGCAGGACCCAUUACAGUAUUCUGUGGCUGAAAUUUUAGCACCUGGCCUCAGAGAGAGAUUUGACUUGUUGUUUAGUUCAGGUCAAAGGUCUUCAGUCACUGCUGAUUAUGCUGUGGGGAAGACAGAUCUCUUCUCAGGCUUCUCUUUGGCAUUGUGAUCUAUGAUGGAUGCUUGCCAUUGCUGCUCCAGGAUUUUAUUGCGACAUGCUUUAAUCCAGGGCUCAACUAUCAAAUCUGUCCAGGUCACCCCGUGUCAUGCCUGCAGAAGACAAACUUAUACAACGUCAUCUGCUGCUUGUACAUCUGCCAUCUAAGGGCACGUAACGGCCACGUUUUCCUUGGAAAGGCAUCAAGACACAGAAGGGGCAGGGGGAUACAGAUUUACGCAGGGCUGAUGAGGGAUGAUGUCCGGAGUUCACCCACCAUUCCCAGUUGUCCAUUUAAAAAUCACAAUGCAUAAUUAUUAUAAUUGGCACAACACAGCCAUCAGCAGGAUGAUUGUAUGGAACAUUGUGUGUGUGGUGCUCUAAUGAGUUGGUGGUGGUGUACUAAACACUGCCACUGGAUUUCCAUCUCCAGGACGUAGGCAGGUCAGGGGAUCGUGGGAUCUGGCAUAAGAUUAAGGAAAUAAUUCUAAAAUGGAGUGCACAUACUUACCAUGUCUUCUCUGGCACUCCUCUGUCCAUCUGCAGAGUCCCUUGGGGCAACAGCAGAGUUCCCAAAACUUUACUUCACUGGGCAAAAAUAGGCACGAAUUUAAUCACUAUUACUAGUUUGUUGGACGAGACCUGUCAGACAAAAAAAAAGAAACAAAAAACAGUAAAGGCUGAACAGACCGGAAGAAACAGCACAGAUCCAAGAAUCUGCUUGACUAGCUACUUGGUGAUUAAUAAAUCAUGAAAGCUGCGGAAAUAGAUAUCAUCUCUCCGUCUCUUAUGCAGCUGUUUAAGGCUGGAAAAAGGCUGGAAACAGCUGACCUGCUGGUAUUGGGACAAAUGACUUUUCAAUCAAUAUUCACACCCCCUACACUGAAUUUGAACAUAAAUACAAUGUCCUGAGAUUAAGUGGAGAGAUCCUCCAUGGUAAUGAAAGCCAUCAGUAAUGAUUCUUAACUAACAGCAAAUAAUCUUUAGAAGGAAAAUAGCAUGCACAAUGCAUACAGACAUUUCUUUUCUAUGCUAUGGACUAAAUAUAUCUAAUAAUGAUAUAAUCUAAUUGUUAGCAAAAAUGUCUGUAAUGUAUGAAAAUUAAAAGUCCUUAUAAUGCAGAAAAA
Long non-coding RNA from Lates calcarifer (barramundi perch), 1416 nucleotides. RefSeq lists it as uncharacterized. The transcript has 3 exons. Lineage: Eukaryota; Metazoa; Chordata; Actinopteri; Centropomidae. The record is from RefSeq and is a predicted model, not a curated record.